GAUGAACGCUAGCGGGAGGCUUAACACAUGCAAGUCGAGGGGCAGCAUAGGGUAGCAAUACUCUGAUGGCGACCGGCAAACGGGUGAGUAACGCGUAUGCAACCUACCCUGUACAGGGGGAUAACCCGGAGAAAUUCGGACUAAUAUCCCGUAAUAAUAUCCGGAGGCAUCUUUGGAUAUUUAAAGUUCCGACGGUACGGGAUGGGCAUGCGUAACAUUAACUGGUUGGUAAGGUAACGGCUUACCAAGGCUAUGAUGUUUAGGGGUCCUGAGAGGGUGGUCCCCCACACUGGUACUGAGACACGGACCAGACUCCUACGGGAGGCAGCAGUGAGGAAUAUUGGUCAAUGGGCGCAAGCCUGAACCAGCCAUCCCGCGUGCAGGAAGACGGCCCUAUGGGUUGUAAACUGCUUUUCCAGGGAGAGAAACUUACGCACGUGUUGCGUGACUGACGGUACCCUGGGAAUAAGCAUCGGCUAACUCCGUGCCAGCAGCCGCGGUAAUCUGUAGUCCGU
This 515-nucleotide ribosomal RNA is filed under the name uncultured bacterium. Its description in RNAcentral is "bacterial SSU rRNA". It matches the Rfam family "Bacterial small subunit ribosomal RNA", at positions 28 to 535 of the family's 1533-position model. The record is from RNAcentral.